UGCUGCAUGGCUGUCGUCAGCUCGUGUCGUGAGAUGUUCGGUUAAGUCCGCUAACGAGCGCAACCCUCGCUGUGUGUUACAAGUGUCACACGGAACUGCCGGUCAUAAACCGGAGGAAGGUGGGAUGACGUCAAGUCAGCAUGGCCUUUAUAUCCUGGGCUACACACACGCUACAAUGGGAAGGGACAAUAGGUUGCGAAGCCGCGAGGCGGAGCCAAUCCAGCAAAACUUCCCUCAGUUCAGAUUGCAGGCUGCAACUCGCCUGCAUGAAGUUGGAGUUGCUAGUAACCGCAGGUCAGCAAUACUGCGGUGAAUACGUUCCCGGGUCUU
Molecule: ribosomal RNA, 330 nt
Filed under: uncultured Anaerolineaceae bacterium
Lineage: Bacteria; Bacillati; Chloroflexota; Anaerolineae; Anaerolineales; Anaerolineaceae
Description: bacterial SSU rRNA
Rfam family: Bacterial small subunit ribosomal RNA
Source: RNAcentral